RNAcentral lists this unclassified non-coding RNA (395 nucleotides) under soil metagenome. RNAcentral's name for it is "partial contains 5.8S ribosomal RNA, internal transcribed spacer 2, and large subunit ribosomal RNA". The stretch from base 1 to 122 matches the Rfam family "5.8S ribosomal RNA", at positions 35 to 154 of the family's 154-position model. The record is from RNAcentral.
GAUGAAGAACGUAGCAAAAUGCGAUACUUGGUGUGAAUUGCAGAAUCCCGUGAACCAUCGAGUCUUUAAACGCAAGUUGCGCCCGAAGCCAUCAGGUUGAGGGCACGUCUGCCUGGGCGUCACAUAUCGUUGCCCAAUGCCUAUUGCAGUGCAAUAGGAAUUUCUAGGGCGAAUGAUGGCUUCCCGUGAGCGUUGUUGCCUCGCGGUUGGUUGAAAAUCGAGUCCUUGGUAGGGUGUGCCAUGGUAGAUGGUGGUCGAGUUAGAACGAUACCGAUCAUGUGCAUGCUCCCCAAAAUAUGGCCUCUAUGACCCACACGCGUCUUUUGACGCUCAUGACGAGACCUCAGGUCAGGCGGGGCUACCCGCUGAAUUUAAGCAUAUCAAUAAGCGGAGGA